Molecule: long non-coding RNA, 860 nt
Organism: Gadus morhua (Atlantic cod)
Lineage: Eukaryota; Metazoa; Chordata; Actinopteri; Gadiformes; Gadidae
Exons: 5
Source: RefSeq, a predicted model, not a curated record
UUUUUUUUUCUUCAGGUAUGUAUACUUAUAUAAUUAACUGAUCAGUCAUGAUAUCAAUAAAUACAAUCCUAAAUUCGAGUUCUGUUCAACAGAUAACUAUCUGGAGUGUCGACAGAAGCUGCCACUGGCUCAAAACCAGACGGAUUUGGCAUCAGAGGUCGAAGACCCAACAACAUACCGGAGACCCAAAAGAAAAAUCAAUCCUCCAAAGAAACAGGCCUUCCCAAUCCUCCCUGAGGCCCCUGCUAUCGCUGGACCGUCCAACUUCAGGCGCUUCAUACUAGCGCAGCCCACUCAAAGUGGGUGUUAUGAGGUCCCUGUGAACAAUGAGCAGCCUCAGGGUUUUCAGCUCUUCUGCGUGACCUGUUGGUUAACCAACAAAUACUGAUGGACCAGCAAAAGACCAUGAUUCGGAUGAUCCAAGACCUCCACAGAAACAGCCAGGGAGGUCAGAGGAUGUCCACCACCUCCAGGCAUACUGCCUAUUUUCCACUAGUGGAUAAACAGGCUCUGGAGGCCCUGGAGGGCGACCUGGCAAGCCAGCGGGAACUUCGUCAAGAAUUGGGGGAGCUGAUGCCAAAGAUACUGUGUGGCGCAUUUUGAAACAGGCCAUCAAAAAUGACCUCGCCAAGAACAUCUCAUGGCGGGGGAUGAAUGGAAAGAUUUCAUUUGAAAAUCUACACCUGAAGGCAGUAGUGAUGGAUGCAGUGAGGCGCAAUCCAUCCUGCUCAACCGCAACAGAUGUGCAGAUUGGGGAUGCCAUCAAGAGAUGGUUUUACUGGGCUGGGGAUCGGGAGGGAGGGAGGAAAAAACGCCAGCCGGCUCCAAACCAGGAGCAAACUGUUUUGGAUUAAAUCUAA